CAGAUUUUAGCUUAUAUAAAGCUUUUUAGUUACAUUAAUAGGAAAAUUGCGUUGAUUUUGUCUGA
RNAcentral lists this transfer RNA (65 nucleotides) under Drabescus ineffectus. Its description in RNAcentral is "tRNA-Val". Lineage: Eukaryota; Metazoa; Arthropoda; Insecta; Hemiptera; Cicadellidae. The record is from RNAcentral.